RNAcentral lists this ribosomal RNA (553 nucleotides) under uncultured crenarchaeote. RNAcentral's name for it is "bacterial SSU rRNA". It matches the Rfam family "Archaeal small subunit ribosomal RNA", at positions 325 to 879 of the family's 1478-position model. Lineage: Archaea; Thermoproteati; Thermoproteota. The record is from RNAcentral.
AUGGGGUGCAGCAGGCGAGAAAACUUUGCAAUGUGCGAAAGCACGACAAGGUUAAUCCGAGUGGUUUCUGCUAAAGGAACCUUUUGUUAGUCCUAAAAACACUAACGAAUAAGGGGUGGGCAAGUUCUGGUGUCAGCCGCCGCGGUAAAACCAGCACCUCAAGUGGUCAGGAUGAUUAUUGGGCCUAAAGCAUCCGUAGCCGGCUCUGUAAGUUUUCGGUUAAAUCUGUACGCUUAACGUACAGGCUGCCGGGAAUACUGCAGAGCUAGGGAGUGGGAGAGGUAGACGGUACUCGGGAGAAAGUGGUAAAAUGCUUUGAUCUUUCGAUGACCACCUGUGGCGAAGGCGGUCUACCAGAACACGUCCGACGGUGAGGGAUGAAAGCUGGGGGAGCAAACCGGAUUAGAUACCCGGGUAGUCCCAGCUGUAAACUAUGCAAACUCAGUGAUGCAUUGGCUUGUGGCCAAUGCAGUGUUGCAGGGAAGCCGUUAAGUUUGCCGCCUGGGAAGUACGUACGCAAGUAUGAAACUUAAAGGAAUUGGCGGGGGAGCAC